AUUGAACGCUGGCGGCAUGCCUUACACAUGCAAGUCGAACGGCAGCACGGGGGCAACCCUGGUGGCGAGUGGCGAACGGGUGAGUAACACAUCGGAACGUGCCCAGUAGUGGGGGAUAGCUCGGCGAAAGCCGGAUUAAUACCGCAUACGACCUACGGGUGAAAGCGGGGGAUCGCAAGACCUCGCGCUAUUGGAGCGGCCGAUGUCAGAUUAGGUUGUUGGUGGGGAAAGGCCUACCAAGCCGACGAUCUGUAGCUGGUCUGAGAGGACGACCAGCCACACUGGGACUGAGACACGGCCCAGACUCCUACGGGAGGCAGCAGUGGGGAAUUUUGGACAAUGGGCGCAAGCCUGAUCCAGCCAU
This 364-nucleotide ribosomal RNA is filed under the name uncultured bacterium. Its description in RNAcentral is "bacterial SSU rRNA". It matches the Rfam family "Bacterial small subunit ribosomal RNA", at positions 29 to 395 of the family's 1533-position model. The record is from RNAcentral.